Molecule: ribosomal RNA, 816 nt
Filed under: uncultured Bacillota bacterium
Lineage: Bacteria; Bacillati; Bacillota
Description: bacterial SSU rRNA
Rfam family: Bacterial small subunit ribosomal RNA
Source: RNAcentral
GGCUUCGGUUUAAGUUGAGUGGCGAACGGGUGAGUAACACGUGGGUGACCUACCUUCGAGUGGGGGAUAACGUCCCGAAAGGGACGCUAAUACCGCAUAACAUCCUGCCUUUGAACAGGUGGAGAUCAAAGCCGGGGAUCGCAAGACCUGGCGCUUGAUGAGGGGCCCGCGCCUGAUUAGCUAGUUGGUGAGGUAAUGGCUCACCAAGGCGACGAUCAGUAUCCGGCCUGAGAGGGCGGACGGACACACUGGGACUGAGACACGGCCCAGACUCCUACGGGAGGCAGCAGUGGGGAAUUGUUCGCAAUGGGCGCAAGCCUGACGACGCAACGCCGCGUGGAGGAUGAAGGUCUUCGGAUUGUAAACUCCUGUUGCUCGGGACGAAAAGCUUCGACCUAAUACGUCGAAGUCUGACGGUACCGAGUGAGGAAGCCCCGGCUAACUCUGUGCCAGCAGCCGCGGUAAUACAGAGGGGGCAAGCGUUGUUCGGAAUUACUGGGCGUAAAGGGCGCGUAGGCGGCCUGCUAAGUCGAACGUGAAAUCCCUGGGCUCAACCCAGGAACUGCGUCCGAUACUGGUUGGCUUGAAUCCGGGAGAGGGAUGUGGAAUUCCAGGUGUAGCGGUGAAAUGCGUAGAUAUCUGGAGGAACACCGGUGGCGAAGGCGACAUCCUGGACCGGCAUUGACGCUGAGGCGCGAAAGCCAGGGGAGCAAACGGGAUUAGAUACCCCGGUAGUCCUGGCCCUAAACGAUGAAUGCUUGGUGUGGCGGGUAUCGAUCCCUGCCGUGCCGAAGCUAACGCAUUAAGCAUUCCGCC